AGUGAACGCUGGCGGUAGGCCUAACACAUGCAAGUCGAACGGCAGCACAGUAAGAGCUUGCUCUUACGGGUGGCGAGUGGCGGACGGGUGAGGAAUACAUCGGAAUCUACUUUUUCGUGGGGGAUAACGUAGGGAAACUUACGCUAAUACCGCAUACGACCUACGGGUGAAAGCAGGGGAUCUUCGGACCUUGCGCGAUUGAAUGAGCCGAUUUCGGAUUAGCUAGUUGGCGGGGUAAAGGCCCACCAAGGCGACGAUCCGUAGCUGGUCUGAGCGGAUGAUCAGCCACACUGGACCUGAGCCACGGUCCAAACUCCUACGGGAGGCAGCAGUGGGGAAUAUUGGACAAUGGGCGCAAGCCUGAUCCAGCCAUCCCGCGUGGGUGAAGAAGGCCUUCGAGUUGUAAAGCCCUUUUGUUGGGAAAGAAAAGCAGCAGGUUAAUACCCCGCUGUUCUGACGGUACCCAAAGAAUAAGCACCGGCUAACUUCGU
This 491-nucleotide ribosomal RNA is filed under the name uncultured bacterium. RNAcentral's name for it is "partial 16S ribosomal RNA". It matches the Rfam family "Bacterial small subunit ribosomal RNA", at positions 29 to 506 of the family's 1533-position model. The record is from RNAcentral.